Solea senegalensis (Senegalese sole) is the source of this 757-nucleotide long non-coding RNA. RefSeq lists it as uncharacterized. The transcript is spliced from 2 exons. NCBI's taxonomy places the organism in Eukaryota, Metazoa, Chordata, Actinopteri, Pleuronectiformes, Soleidae. The record is from RefSeq and is a predicted model, not a curated record.
GAGAAACGUUGUUCAAUUAAGGCUGCAAACGGAGUCUCAAGCACUUUUGUGGUUUGUGGUUUUUUGUUUUAGCACCUGGCUGACGAGGCACAAGGUCUGUAUACGUUUUCUUUUAUAUUAUGUGUGUAUUAUAUUUUGAGUUGGUUUUAAUCUCAGUAAGCACCUUAUAGAGUUUCAUGUUCAUGUGAAUGUUAUGCUAGUAGCAUCACAAGGAAUAUGUAUAAUUUGAAGUUAUUACAGUUGGUUGACCUGCACAAUUAAUUAAGAAACAUUAGUUAUUAUUUUUGUUCUUGCUGACUACAUUUUGCUGUACCUCAAAUGGCAUGUUCCAAGCCAGGUUGAUGUUGUGUUUGUAUUCAUCCAUCCAUAUUUCUGCUACCCUCAGGGCGUUUCUCUUCAUGACAGAACUUAGGUCUAACUGGUAAGGCUUGUGAUUCCUCUCAAUGUGGGCGAUCUUGGAGCAUGGAACUACUUCAACACUGCCUCCGCAUGUCCACACCUUCAUGAAAAAGCCACCCAGACUGCCAGAAGAAUAAUUGUAAGGAGACGGGUCAUGGGUCGUGAGCGCUCUCUGAUCUCUGAUCUCUGCUCUGCGCUGGACUCUGCCCUGCUCCACUGUUCUGACCGUGGCUUCACUGUUCCGUUCGGGUUGCGCAUGUGCCGGUAACGGCAACAGAAGGAGCUGAUGUAUGAUCGUAGAUGUUUGGGACGCCUGUCCACCUCACUAACUUACUAAUAAAUGGAACUUAAACUUUGA